RNAcentral lists this ribosomal RNA (426 nucleotides) under uncultured bacterium. RNAcentral's name for it is "bacterial SSU rRNA". It matches the Rfam family "Bacterial small subunit ribosomal RNA", at positions 354 to 796 of the family's 1533-position model. The record is from RNAcentral.
GUAGGGAAUAUUGCACAAUGGGCGAAAGCCUGAUGCAGCAACGCCGCGUGCGCGAUGAAGGCCUUCGGGUCGUAAAGCGCUUUUUGGGGAGACGAGGAAGGACGGUACCCCCAGAAUAAGGAUCGGCUAACUACGUGCCAGCAGCCGCGGUAAAACGUAGGAUCCGAGCGUUAUCCGAAUUCACUGGGCGUAAAGCGCGUGCAGGCGGUUCGGUAAGUUGGAUGUGAAAUCUCCUGGCUCAACUGGGAGAGGACGUUCAAUACUGUCGGACUAGAGGACGGUAGAGGGAGGUGGAAUUCCCGGUGUAGUGGUGAAAUGCGUAGAUAUCGGGAGGAACACCAGUGGCGAAGGCGGCCUCCUGGACCGUACCUGACGCUCAGACGCGAAAGCUAGGGGAGCGAACGGGAUUAGAAACCCUAGUAGUCC